GCUUGUCUCAAAGAUUAAGCCAUGCAUGUCUAAGUAUAGUACCUUAUACUGCGAAACUGCGAAUGGCUCAUUAAAUCAGUUAUAAUUCAUUUGAUGGUACUUACUACUCGGAUAACCGUAGUAAUUCUAGAGCUAAUACAUGCUGAAAAGCCCGACUUCGGAAGGGUUGUAUUUAUUAGAUAAAAAACCAAUGCCCUUCGGGGCUCUUUGGUGAUUCAUGAUAACUUCUCAGAUCGCACGGCCUUGCGCCGGCGACGGUUCAUUCAAAUUUCUGCCCUAUCAACUUUCGAUGGUACGGUAUUGGCCUACCAUGGUUUCAACGGGUAACAGGGAAUUAGGGUUCGAUUCUGGAGAGCGAGCCUGAGAGACGGCUAGCACAUCCAAGGAAGGCAGCAGG
RNAcentral lists this ribosomal RNA (397 nucleotides) under uncultured Trematosphaeria. RNAcentral describes it as "partial small subunit ribosomal RNA". It matches the Rfam family "Eukaryotic small subunit ribosomal RNA", at positions 30 to 432 of the family's 1831-position model. The record is from RNAcentral. Lineage: Eukaryota; Fungi; Ascomycota; Dothideomycetes; Pleosporales; Trematosphaeriaceae.